RNAcentral lists this long non-coding RNA (298 nucleotides) under Mytilus galloprovincialis (Mediterranean mussel). Lineage: Eukaryota; Metazoa; Mollusca; Bivalvia; Mytilida; Mytilidae. The record is from RNAcentral.
CGGGGCUAUUUAUAACUGACUAUGGGCUAAGGGUUUUGCUCAUUGUUGAAGGCUGUAUGGUGACCUAUAGUUGUUAAUUUCUGUGUCAUUUUGGUCUCUUGUGGAGAGUUGUCUCAUUGGUAAUCAUACCACAUCUUUGUUUUUUAUAAUAACUUUUGAGAAAAAAAAUAGCUGUUAAAAUCAAAAUUGCUCAGGCAAAUUAAAAAUUUACCCAUAAAAUGCUCAGAGUUUGAUUCAUCUAAUAAUUUUUUUUAACUUUGUGUACAAUAUCAUAUGGGAUAAUAUAAGAACCAAAUUU